GAUGAACGCUAGCUACAGGCUUAACACAUGCAAGUCGAGGGGCAGCAUGGUCUUAGCUUGCUAAGGCCGAUGGCGACCGGCGCACGGGUGAGUAACACGUAUCCAACCUGCCGUCUACUCUUGGACAGCCUUCUGAAAGGCAGAUUAAUACAAGAUGGCAUCAUGAGUCCGCAUGUUCACAUGAUUAAAGGUAUUCCGGUAGACGUUGGGGAUGCGUUCCAUUAGAUAGUAGGCGGGGUAACGGCCCACCUAGUCUUCGAUGGAUAGGGGUUCUGAGAGGAAGGUCCCCCACAUUGGAACUGAGACACGGCCCAGACUCCUACGGGAGGCAGCAGUGAGGAAUAUUGGUCAAUGGGCGCAGGCCUGAACCAGCCAAGUAGCGUGAAGGAUGACUGCCCUAUGGGUUGUAAACUUCUUUUAUAAAGGAGUAAAGUCGGGUAUGUAUACCCGUUUGCAUAUACUUUAUGAAUAAGGAUCGGCUAACUCCGUG
This 490-nucleotide ribosomal RNA is filed under the name uncultured bacterium. RNAcentral describes it as "partial 16S ribosomal RNA". It matches the Rfam family "Bacterial small subunit ribosomal RNA", at positions 28 to 507 of the family's 1533-position model. The record is from RNAcentral.